Long non-coding RNA from Hyla sarda, 528 nucleotides. RefSeq lists it as uncharacterized. The record is from RefSeq and is a predicted model, not a curated record. Lineage: Eukaryota; Metazoa; Chordata; Amphibia; Anura; Hylidae. The transcript is spliced from 3 exons.
AUAAUUUUUAAAAAGAUUAUCAAUGUUUUCUGAAGAGGAUCUUAGAAAUGGCCAUGAAUCCAUAAUAACGGACAAAACAAUGCAGCAAAAAUGGCAUUCAGUACGAGAUGCAUUCAAGCGAUUUUUGUACAAAAGAGAAGGCAGCCACCAGUGGAUCUGGUGCACCAAACAUUGAAGUUUAGAAAUAUGCUCCUAAUCUUCAAUUUCUACAAAAAAAUGUUUUGCCAUUCGGAAGACAACAUGCAGUGUUUCAGCAUUGGAAAAGAAUAAAUCACAUGCAGUGUUUUCCACCCAACGAGAGAGCCCAACAGCUGCUGAAGAAGCAAAGUCAAAUAGGAUUCAAAUGCAACAUUUCAGAAGACUUCAAUGAAAAGAUGCUGAAUAUAGGGAAAGUCUAGUUUUGGAGGUGAUGCAGAAAACUGAAGAGUUUUGAAGGCAAACAUAUGGCACCUGUCAGAAUGUUGUGUUUAGAAGGAGGGUGGAGUGGUGAUAAACAAAAUGCUGACCGUAACUUUCUGUUAUCACUAC